RNAcentral lists this ribosomal RNA (492 nucleotides) under uncultured bacterium. RNAcentral describes it as "partial 16S ribosomal RNA". It matches the Rfam family "Bacterial small subunit ribosomal RNA", at positions 29 to 507 of the family's 1533-position model. The record is from RNAcentral.
AGUGAACGCUGGCGGUAGGCCUAACACAUGCAAGUCGAACGGCAGCACAGUAAGAGCUUGCUCUUACGGGUGGCGAGUGGCGGACGGGUGAGGAAUACAUCGGAAUCUACUUUUUCGUGGGGGAUAACGUAGGGAAACUUACGCUAAUACCGCAUACGACCUACGGGUGAAAGCAGGGGAUCUUCGGACCUUGCGCGAUUGAAUGAGCCGAUGUCGGAUUAGCUAGUUGGCGGGGUAACGGCCCACCAAGGCGACGAUCCGUAGCCGAUCUGAGAGGAUGAUCGGCCACACUGGAACUGAGACACGGGCCAGACUCCUACGGGAGGCAGCAGUAGGGAGUCUUCCGCAAUGGGCGAAAGCCUGACGGAGCAACGCCGCGUGAGUGAUGAAGGUCUUCGGAUCGUAAGACUCUGUUAUUAGGGAAGAACAAAUGUGUAAGUAACUAUGCACGUCUUGACGGUACCUAAUCAGAAAGCCACGGCUAACUACGUG